GAUGAACGCUGGCGGCGUGCCUAAUACAUGCAAGUCGAGCGAACAGACGAGGAGCUUGCUCCUCUGACGUUAGCGGCGGACGGGUGAGUAACACGUGGAUAACCUACCUAUAAGACGGGGAUAACUUCGGGAAACCGGAGCUAAUACCGGAUAAUAUAUUGAACCGCAGGGUUCAAUAGUGAAAGACGGUUUUGCUGUCACUUAUAGAUGGAUCCGCGCCGCAUUAGCUAGUUGGUAAGGUAACGGCUUACCAAGGCAACGAUGCGUAGCCGACCUGAGAGGGUGAUCGGCCACACUGGAACUGAGACACGGUCCAGACUCCUACGGGAGGCAGCAGUAGGGAAUCUUCCGCAAUGGGCGAAAGCCUGACGGAGCCACGCCGCGUGAGUGAUGAAGGUCUUCGGAUCGUAAAACUCUGUUAUUAGGGAAGAACAAAUGUGUAAGUAACUAUGCACGUCUUGACGGUACCUAAUCAGAAAGCCACGGCUAACUACGUG
Molecule: ribosomal RNA, 497 nt
Filed under: uncultured bacterium
Lineage: Bacteria
Description: partial 16S ribosomal RNA
Rfam family: Bacterial small subunit ribosomal RNA
Source: RNAcentral